This 796-nucleotide small RNA is filed under the name Pan troglodytes (chimpanzee). Its description in RNAcentral is "retained intron". Lineage: Eukaryota; Metazoa; Chordata; Mammalia; Primates; Hominidae. The record is from RNAcentral.
CCUCACUCGCGCGUUAGGAGGCUCGGGUCGUUGUGGUGCGCCGUGUUCCCGCUUGCGUCAGGGACCUGCCCGACUCAGUGGCCGCCAUGGCAUCAGAUGAAGGCAAACUUUUUGUUGGAGGGCUGAGUUUUGACACCAAUGAGCAGUCGCUGGAGCAGGUCUUCUCAAAGUACGGACAGAUCUCUGAAGUGGUGGUUGUGAAAGACAGGGAGACCCAGAGAUCUCGGGGAUUUGGGUUUGUCACCUUUGAGAACAUUGACGACGCUAAGGAUGCCAUGAUGGCCAUGAAUGGGAAGGUGAGGAUCAGGGUGCUGAGCGGGAGUCCCAUCUCGAGGAUGGGGCACCCACCCGCUAACCCGUCCCGCCCUCUGUCUCCAGUCUGUAGAUGGACGGCAGAUCCGAGUAGACCAGGCAGGCAAGUCGUCAGACAACCGAUCCCGUGGGUACCGUGGUGGCUCUGCCGGGGGCCGGGGCUUCUUCCGCGGGGGCCGAGGACGGGGCCGUGGGUUCUCUAGAGGAGGAGGGGACCGAGGCUAUGGGGGGAACCGGUUCGAGUCCAGGAGUGGGGGCUACGGAGGCUCCAGAGACUACUAUAGCAGCCGGAGUCAGAGUGGUGGCUACAGUGACCGGAGCUCGGGCGGGUCCUACAGAGACAGUUAUGACAGUUACGCUACACACAACGAGUAAAAACCCUUCCUGCUCAAGAUCGUCCUUCCAAUGGCUGUGUGUUUAAAGAUUGUGGGAGCUUCGCUGAACGUUAAUGUGUAGUAAACGCACCUCCUUGUAUUCCCACUUU